This is a long non-coding RNA of Centrocercus urophasianus (Greater sage-grouse), 2494 nucleotides long. RefSeq lists it as uncharacterized. The record is from RefSeq and is a predicted model, not a curated record. The transcript is spliced from 2 exons. NCBI's taxonomy places the organism in Eukaryota, Metazoa, Chordata, Aves, Galliformes, Phasianidae.
UCCAUCCACCCCUCAAAGUAGUCCCUUACAAAACCCCCCUGGUAAAACAAAUACUUGCCUCCCUACCUCUCCAAUCCCUCUUCCAAGAGCAAAGGGGGUCCCUGAUGUCUUCGGCAGAGAGUUGAGACCCUUAAAAAUCCCCGAAUUUCGGAGGGUGCGGAGGGAUCUGGAGCUGCGGUGAAACGGCUACUCCAAACGGCGGCAAGCACACAGGAGAGACAGCUUUGUUUUAAAAGCAGUGCUUCUACCAUCAACAUGCUUGGGCUUGCUUGUCCUGCUCUGAAUGAUCCAGAGGAAGAUGUGGCAAUUCGCUUCCUGAUGUCGGGAGACUCUUCACAGGGCAUUUUACAAAGACAUCAGUCUGAAAUCACAGGUUUGUGCCUACACACAAUGCCAGUGAAAGCGACAAUAUCUGGAUCUGUUCUAAAAUUACAUGUCUGUGUCUUUGCAGUCUGUCUCCUGCUUACGAGUCUGCUGGAGCCGAUCCAAACUGCAGUGCAGUGAAGGAGCUCUCUUUGUUCCUGUUUUCUUUGCUGUGUCUGAGCAGGAUAGCAGAGAACCAUUUUGAAAAACAGAAAGAAGUGAGUCUAGAAUGCUGUGAAUAAUUAACAUUUUUCUAUUGAACAGCAACACUGAAGACCAUUCUGAACAGCCUUUGUCCGUCAGACCCUUUGUCUUCAGAUCCAGCUCUUCCCUUGAUAAGGGGAAUAUCCAGAAAGGUCCCCCUCCAUGAUCUAAAGACUAAAAUCCAAACAUUGGUAUUUUUCUCCCUGUACAAACUGUGAAAUCUUUAACACCUCAGUGCUUUUAAGCAUGGUAUUAGCUAUGAACUACUUCUAGUUCCCUGUUUGUUAGACAAAAAGCAUCUACGGUUUCUACUUCCCUUAAACCCACAAACAUGUCGCUCCUUUUAGUGCUGCUUCUGCAAUGAAAAUGCCCUUACAGGCAGAAUCCACACAGGCUGCAAGCCAGCUCUGCAUAGCUGAGUCAUUGUUAUACAAGCAGAGCUGCAUGGCACAGAAAAGCACCUUUGUACUUCAGCACUAACACACAUCAGCUGAUGAACUUUGAAUAUGUGAUACACCCAAAGAGAACAGUCAUUUACUGGACUUUUCUUCCUCUUAUCUUUCUCACCUCUUUCUGAAUGUUUCUUCCUUUUCUAUUGUGUUUCAGAAGGUUUAGAGGAAAACAUUCUAUAUCUUCUACUGCCACUAAUGUUUGGUAAACGUUGGAAAUAAUCAGUGUGAGGGCUGUUAACUCUUUAGGCACUGGGCAACAUCUAACAGCCACACGUGCAUGUACCCCCAAUCCCAUAUGCAACCACUGAAAUUUAGGACUUGCAAUCAGAAUACCAGUAAAAUUUAACAUCAGCCAGAGAUCUGCUGUAAAGUUCUAGCAUUGUCUCUUCCCGUGAGGCCUAAUUUUGAGCUUUAUGAGUCCUUUGAAACAAAUGAAAGAGGAGGAAGAAUAUUUUUGCUGUAACCUUCUGAAAUGACUGCAUUCUGCUUCUCAAUUUUUUUCUUUCUUGCGGUUCUUUCCUUGAAACAUCAUAGGGGAACAGAAUUUAGCUUCUCAAAAUGCUUUCUACAUUUAGUAUACGGUGAAUUAAUAGUGGAGGUAAGUGGAAACUGACAGAUUUGCAUAUAUGACAUAGAUUGCACACUCCAGUUUUCACUCAGGAACUGCUUUAGGAGGGUGUACAGAUGUUUAGUGUCUCCUAAAGCAGGCAGGUGUCUGUGAACUGAUCCAUGAGCAGCUCCUAAAACAUGCUCUGCCUUUUAGUUUCGUGUUGUUCUUGUUUUUAGAGGACAGACCACUGUAGGCUGAAACCUGCAACUGCUGCAGGCCAUACCCCACACCUAGGGCAGAUGAAGCCAUGCUGCAGACUACACAGACUUGGUUUCAGCUCACGGUCUCCAGUUUCACCUGAGUGACAUUUCCUCCCAAAAUAUAAGGUGACUAACAUGAAGUUGAGUGUGACUAAAAGUCUGGGAGUGGCCCAGAUCAGGCGCUCCUGAAGAACGUGCUGACGUGGGCCAGAAUUUGUCACAUACAGCAUAUUUAAAAUGGUUCCAAUAGAAUGAAUAACGAGUACAGAGGUUCAGAUGGGGAAUAACAGGAAACUGUAACUCAGCACCCUUUCCUAUCAUCAGUGAAGGGUGAUGCUGAGCCACUGGAUUGUUAUUUGAGUCCUGCUAUAUGCCAACUCAGGAGGCAGCCCACACACUGCAGAUGCAUGUUUUUAAAGCUGUUUUCCAGACCAGAGAGUGCUGAUGGACGUUUCGUCAUCGUCCAGUUGCUUUGCUAUAUUCCUGGAUGAGACGUGACCCUCUGGUGCCUGUUCUGCUCCAUACCAGACUAGUAACUCACUUGUUUACAUCUCUCCCUGUUCCGCUUCCAGAGAAGAGCAAGGCAUUAAGAAUUGUUGCCAAUACAAGUUAUUGAUUGUCGCUCCAACAAAAUACAUUUCCACUCCAGCCACCCUGGGUAUUCA